Molecule: ribosomal RNA, 501 nt
Filed under: uncultured bacterium
Lineage: Bacteria
Description: partial 16S ribosomal RNA
Rfam family: Bacterial small subunit ribosomal RNA
Source: RNAcentral
AUUGAACGCUGGCGGCAGGCUUAACACAUGCAAGUCGAGCGGGGUGAUGGUGCUUGCACUAUCACUUAGCGGCGGACGGGUGAGUAAUGCUUAGGAAUCUGCCUAUUAGUGGGGGACAACAUCUCGAAAGGGAUGCUAAUACCGCAUACGUCCACGGGAGAAAGCAGGGGAUCUUUAUGACCUUGCGCUAAUAGAUGAGCCUAAGUCGGAUUAGCUAGUUGGUGGGGUAAAGGCCUACCAAGGCGACGAUCUGUAGCGGGUCUGAGAGGAUGAUCCGCCACACUGGGACUGAGACACGGCCCAGACUCCUACGGGAGGCAGCAGUGGGGAAUAUUGGACAAUGGGGGGAACCCUGAUCCAGCCAUGCCGCGUGUGUGAAGAAGGCCUUAUGGUUGUAAAGCACUUUAAGCGAGGAGGAGGCUCUUUUGGUUAAUACCCAGAAUGAGUGGACGUUACUCGCAGAAUAAGCACCGGCUAACCCUGUGCCAGCCGCCGCCGUAA